This is a non-coding RNA of Salmo salar (Atlantic salmon), 54 nucleotides long. The record is from Rfam. NCBI's taxonomy places the organism in Eukaryota, Metazoa, Chordata, Actinopteri, Salmoniformes, Salmonidae.
AGAAUUCACUACUGUAAGUUGCUCUGGAUAAGAGUGUCUGCUAAAUGACUCAAA